GGCUUUAGCACCCCGACCACCCUAACAUCUUGCACUGUCUGGGGGCUCCCCGGGCUCAGCAACACCCACCUCUGUGGCUGGGAGCUGGGCUCAGCCACAUCCCUGCAACUUCUCCGGGACACCGCCAUCCAGCUACGCCAAGGCCUGACGGCGGCUCCAUGUUUCCUGCCAAUGGCGGUGCUAUUAAUUUGUCAAACGCUCAGAGCCAUAUGUGGCUCGAGGCUGCCAUGUUGCACAGUGCAAAUCCACAGAGCGUUUCAUCCAAUGGUAUUGCCCUUGAAGGUGGGCAUUCCACAGCCCGCGGCCCUGACGAGGGAAAUGCACAGAGCCUCCUCCUGACCCGCAGCGCACAUGUGAGGAUUCCAAAUAAAGUUGCAGACUCCAUGUUCUUAGGGGAAGAGAGCGUAACUCCCGCUGCUUAAGUGAAGCCCAUGCAUAGUGACUUUGCUCCAGUGAGUCUGGAAAGCGGGACAAGGGAGUAACUUUCCUGUGGAGAAACCUGGCAGAGGCCACGACCGCCAGGUGAGGCGGGUGAUUUAGUGAUGAGUCAUUGACAGAAGGCUCCUUGGCAGGGUGUAAUAAAAAUAGCACUUUACUUCUAUGGUCUUCUUCCCCAAAUUCCAUAAUCCCAAUCAGAUCAUCAGAAAAACCCCAACUGAGAGAAAUUCUACAGCAUGCCUGACCAUUACUCUUCAAAACUAUCCCAGUCAUCGAAAACAA
Molecule: long non-coding RNA, 720 nt
Filed under: Homo sapiens (human)
Lineage: Eukaryota; Metazoa; Chordata; Mammalia; Primates; Hominidae
Description: HSALNT0299788
Source: RNAcentral